CAAUUUGGCAUUUCAAUUUAAAAACAAUCCAACUCAUGUGAUUUCAUGUUAUCUUACUGAACCGAUUUAUGAGAGUCAAUUUUAUAAUGCAGGUUUUAUUGACAUACUCGACUAGAUGAUUUAUUUAACCUGCAAUUCAGUUGCAAUUGACAAUCGACUUGUGGUGUUCUAAUUUAAGGAAGCUCGGUUUACCGAUUGCUAUGUUGUUGAAGCAGGUCCAUAUUGGUGCAUUGUUCACGGUUCCGCUGAGCUGAGGGCUUGCUGGGCCAGCGCUCUCCAAUCCGACGGGACUGGAUCAGGUCCAUAUUGGUGCAUUGUUCACGGUUCCGCUGAGCUGAGGGCUUGCUGGGCCAGCGCUCUCCAAUCCGACGGGACUGGAUGUGAGAUCUACUGCCCACGCCCUUGGCUUCCUCUGGUCUACAUUAGCAAUUCACACUUUGCCUACUGAUUUGCAAUGAAGUAUCAUACCCUACUCGGAUGUUUACGAUAAAUUAAGUGUAAUUUCAAUGCAAUGAUCACUAAAUGUUAUUUAGAUCAUUUGAGAAUGUGCCCUGUGAUCAAAAGCUAUCUUGUUUGAUUCCCUCAUAUGUUAGAUGUUGAAACGAAGUUGAAACUCAGACCUUUGGUUUGUUAUUGCUCUGAGUCCUUUAAACAAAAGAUAUUUCAUCGAAUCUA
Amphibalanus amphitrite is the source of this 675-nucleotide long non-coding RNA. RefSeq lists it as uncharacterized. The transcript has 3 exons. The record is from RefSeq and is a predicted model, not a curated record. NCBI's taxonomy places the organism in Eukaryota, Metazoa, Arthropoda, Thecostraca, Balanomorpha, Balanidae.